This 254-nucleotide ribosomal RNA is filed under the name uncultured bacterium. RNAcentral's name for it is "partial 16S ribosomal RNA". It matches the Rfam family "Bacterial small subunit ribosomal RNA", at positions 524 to 776 of the family's 1533-position model. The record is from RNAcentral.
UACGUAGGGUGCGAGCGUUAAUCGGAAUUACUGGGCGUAAAGCGUGCGCAGGCGGUCGUGUAAGACAGGUGUGAAAUCCCCGGGCUUAACCUGGGAACUGCAUUUGUGACUGCACGGCUGGAGUGCGGCAGAGGGGGAUGGAAUUCCGGCGUGUAGCAGUGAAAUGCGUAGAUAUGCGGAGGAACACCGAUGGCGAAGGCAAUCCCCUGGGCCUGCACUGACGCUCAUGCACGAAAGCGUGGGGAGCAAACAGG